CUAGGUGCUGUUGCACCGAGAGCUUGUCUACAAAAUGUCAGGCAGACAGCAAUUCAUACUGCCAAGUUAUAGAUUUUUUUUUCAUUAAAACCUGCCUGGUUUUCUGCCAUGCUGACACAGCCUCCGAGGGAGGGAAUGUGCUGAUCGAGUACAUCCAGGCUCUCCAAGAUGGCUGAGGAUGGAAUACAACAUUUAACACAGAGUAGAGAAGCUUCAGCUUUCCCAGGUGGGAUUCUUAACUCGCCUCCGCAGCUGUGAGCUGAUCAUUCAUCCACUACAAUCUAUUUUUGCUUCAAAGCUGGGAUGUCCAAAAAUCAGCUACGGCCAUGCACACGAGUUGAACUUCUAUUCAGUGGAUGACAUUAAAGCUGCAAAGCUCUACUUGAUUUGAAGAUGAUCCUUACCAGAGGGAGGAAAUAACAGGAGCAUUCAAGCUUCUGCAACGACCAGACCGGUCUCUUAUUCCUGACGUAACAUCUCAGAUCAGCCAACACGUCAGAGGGCAACGUUCUCUGU
Long non-coding RNA from Trachemys scripta elegans, 516 nucleotides. RefSeq lists it as uncharacterized. NCBI's taxonomy places the organism in Eukaryota, Metazoa, Chordata, Testudines, Emydidae. The transcript is spliced from 3 exons. The record is from RefSeq and is a predicted model, not a curated record.